GGAGUAUAGUUUGGUAGCAAAGCACUUGCCUAGCAUGCAUGAGGCCCUGGGUUCAAUUCCCAGCUCUG
This 68-nucleotide transfer RNA is filed under the name Neotoma lepida (desert woodrat). It matches the Rfam family "tRNA". Rfam says of the family: Transfer RNA (tRNA) molecules are approximately 80 nucleotides in length. Their secondary structure includes four short double-helical elements and three loops (D, anti-codon, and T loops). Lineage: Eukaryota; Metazoa; Chordata; Mammalia; Rodentia; Cricetidae. The record is from Rfam by way of RNAcentral.